Molecule: RNA transcript, 2883 nt
Organism: Onychostoma macrolepis
Lineage: Eukaryota; Metazoa; Chordata; Actinopteri; Cypriniformes; Cyprinidae
Exons: 8
Source: RefSeq, a predicted model, not a curated record
ACUGUUGUGACUGUUUACAUUGAAAAAUCACACCUCAACAUACACACGUGGUCAGGAUUGUUGGUCACGAAAUUCAAUGACAUCAAGGCUGUAAUGUGAUUGGUUAUUAAAGUGCAUAUUGCAGGUUAAAUUUUUUUUCCAAAUAUGAAAUUAUAUGAACCAUAUGAAAAGUUAAUGCAGGAUUUUUAAUGUUUUACAAGACAUGAGGGCUCAAAUUUAGUAGACAAAGUCACAGUUUCCGUGACUGUUCUGAAAAACCGCUUUUAUUUUAACAUCGCGUCAUAUUACGUCACGAGAGGGAGUCCUGUCCCACGCUCUGCGUUGGCGCGGUGCAGAGUAGGUUGGUAUUCAGUUAGAGCAGUCGUGUUUUCGAUUUAUCAUCAUGGUAAAUUAUUGUGUUUGUGGAGGUUGCACAAACUCCAGCCUGUCAGGACAUCGAGUCCACAGGUUUCCUGGUGAAGAGACGUGACUUCACUUCUGCAUCUGCUUCGAAAAACGCGGUGGUGCGUAGUGUUCACUUUAGACCGGAGGAUUAUCAUCCCGGUGAUAUGAUGGAGUUCAACAUGGGAUGCCGAAGCAAGAACCAAGUGAGGCUCAGAGCUGGUGCGGUACCUUCGGUGCACUCAGCAUCUCCAUCGGGUCCACCAUCAGCCUGUGGUUCAUGCAUCAGUCAGAGAUGCAGCUCGACGAAAACGUGGACUGUGCACCGCAAGUCUUUUUUUCUUUUUAACAUUUGCUAACUACCAAAUCAGUGAACAUAAUGAUUUCAAUAAUGAGAAGCAACGUGAUGUGUAUAAGUUACAAAGAACCGCAGCUAGCUUGUAAUAGCAAUAUUAAAAAUAAAAACCGUGUAAAAACGUUACCAUAUGAAUAAAUGGUAACCUCAGUUUGCUAAAAUUAUAACCAUCAAGUCUACAACUUAGUGACUUUGUUUGCACAGCUAAUUCGUAAUUUAUUGUCAUGAUGUGUAGGCUUUGGAAGAAACUGCAAGUAAUGAAGGGGGAGAUGCAUCUACAGCUGACCCAGAGCAGGAUGCUUUCUUUCCACUGGCCCCUCAAUCAUCUGUGCUUCACUUUGGCUCACAGUGUAACCUCAGACCUUCACAACGCUCAUCAGCUGUUCAGGCACAGCCCAAGAUGGUCAGUGUGGGGACUCAGACAGAAAGGUUUGAGAAACAAACAUCAACUCCACUGCCCAGUCCUGUGCACAGCGAUGAUGAAUCAUCCUCUGUUUUCAUGGAUGAACAUGGUGAUGUGUCAUGGAUCCCAGAGGAGGAAAUGAGAAGUGACUUAUGUGAUGAGAAACCACUGCAGGAAUCUCUCCCUGACCUCAAUGCUGCUGACAAGUUCAUUGUGAGCCAGCUGAUGUCUCUAUUUACAAUUUGCCCGGCCUGUUGUGAGGAAACCCAAGGACAAAUUGAGAAGCAGGAGGGAACUUUUGUAAAAAUAAAGCAAGUCUGUGCAGCAUGUGGGUAUCAGAGUUUUUGGCAGAACCAGCCAAUGCUGCAUCGAAAUAUGCCAGCCUGCAACCUUUUACUGAGUGGGGCCAUUCACUUUUCCGGUUGCAUGGCUACCCAGACCAUCAGGAUGUUGAAGCUGUUUGGGCUUCAGCGCAUCAGUGUCGGAAACCUUCUUCCGCCAUCAGCGCUUGUACACAAUUCCUACCAUUGUGCAGGCAUGGCAGAAUGAGCAGGCAGGGGUCAUUAGAGAUUUAAAUAAGAUGAGAAGGCUGAUCCUGUCUGGUGACUGCAGGUCAGAUUCUCCUGGCCAUUGUGCAAAAUAUGGCACAUAUUCAUUAAUUGAGGACAGAAUCAACAAGGUUUUAGAUAUUCAACUUGUCUAGAGCUCAGAGGUCCCAAGUAGCUCCUGGUGUGAGCUAGAGGGUCUAAAGCACAGCAUAAGGUUUCUGACUGAGCAACAUAUGCAAGUGUCAGCCCUUAUCACAGACAGAAAUCGGCAGGUUGCCAAAUGGGUGCGGGAGGAGUUGUGUCCAAAAGGAACAAGCCAUUUCUUUGACAUCUGGCAUAUUGGCAAAAGUCUAGGAAAAGCUUUGGAUGCUGCUGCAAAUACUUUCUGUAUUUGAUUAUUCUUUCUUACUAAGUUCUUAGAAAGUCCAGCCACUAUCAAUCACAUCAAUUACAGAUGAUUAAGCAUAUACAUCGUCAGUUUGUUGUUUUACACACAUGCACACAGACAUUAUUUUAUAGUUGUGAGAUGCAUAAAAAAAUCUUUAGACACGUAACACAAACCAUAAUCCAUAACAACAAAAGACAAUACUUUAUUUAACCUUUUCUGAUAAGAAGUGUGUGCUGCAAACGCGAGAAUUUUUGACGAUAGUUUCUGUCAAGUUCGCUCGUUUUAUCUCAAACACAGCUGUCGUCGUUUUUUUUGUCUGCGAGUGGCAGCAGGUAUGCGUUAAAAUUUCAAAUUGGAGCCUGUACUACAUAGAUUCUUGCAUCCAACAUCACAACAAGAUGAUAUUUUAAGCUCCUUGUGUAGCCGAAUCUGCGCUGGUUUGAAUGGGCUGCCUCCAGUUUUCCCUUUUUUUGCCUCCAGCUAGCGCUGUGACGUAAUCGUGACGUCGGCGCAAAAAGGGUCUAUAGCAGGCAUCAAAUUUGAAAUGAGCUCAUUUUGUGCAUAAAAUUGUAAAAUUGCUCAAUUUAAACAUUCGUUGUGUUAUCUAUGUUCUAUUGUGAAUAAAAUAUUGGCUCAUGUGAUUUGAAAUUCCUUUAGGUUUCAUCUUAUUAAAAUUAAAAUGUCCCAACAUUUCCGGAAUUUGGGUUGUAAUACAGACCCUCUCAUCUCCCUAUAGUAAGAGAAUUUCUGCUGACACACCACUGUGGACUGUGAAUUACAUUUUUAUUUAGAAUGUCUUUUUUUUUUU